CAGCAGCCGCGGUAAUACGAGGGGGGCGAGCGUUGUUCGGAAUUAUUGGGCGUAAAGGGUGCGUAGGCGGUUAGAUAAGUCUGAAGUUAAAGGCUGUGGCUUAACCAUAGUACGCUUUGGAAACUGUUUAACUUGAGUGCAAGAGGGGAGAGUGGAAUUCCAUGUGUAGCGGUGAAAUGCGUAGAUAUAUGGAGGAACACCGGUGGCGAAAGCGGCUCUCUGGCUUGUAACUGACGCUGAGGCUCGAAAGCGUGGGGAGCAAACAGGAUUAGAUACCCCCGUAGUCCCUGUCUCUUAUACA
This 301-nucleotide ribosomal RNA is filed under the name uncultured bacterium. RNAcentral's name for it is "partial 16S ribosomal RNA". It matches the Rfam family "Bacterial small subunit ribosomal RNA", at positions 509 to 808 of the family's 1533-position model. The record is from RNAcentral.